CGCCCGCUCAGAAACUUAAAGGAAUUGACGGGUCCCCGCACAAGCGGCGGAGCAUGCGGCUUAAUUCGAUGCAACCCGAAGAACCUUACCUGGGCUUGACAUCAUGGGAAAAGCCGUAGAGAUACGGUGUGCAUUAGCGUCCAUGACAGGUGGUGCAUGGCUGUCGUCAGCUCGUGUCGUGAGAUGUUGGGUUAAGUCCCGCAACGAGCGCAACCCUUGUCCUAUGUUGCCAGCGGUUCGGCCGGGGACUCAUAGGAGACUGCCGGGGACAACUCGGAGGAAGGUGAGGACGACGUCAAGUCAUCAUGCCCCUUAUGUCCAGGGCUGCACGCAUGCUACAAUGGUCGGUACAACGGGCUGCGAUCCCGCGAGGGUGAGCGAAUCCCUUAAAACCGGCCUCAGUUCGGAUUGGAGUCCGCAACUCGACUCCAUGAAGUCGGAGUCGCUAGUAAUCGCGGAUCAGCAAAGCCGCGGUGAAUGCGUUCUCGGGGAUU
RNAcentral lists this ribosomal RNA (494 nucleotides) under uncultured Acidimicrobiales bacterium. Its description in RNAcentral is "bacterial SSU rRNA". It matches the Rfam family "Bacterial small subunit ribosomal RNA", at positions 887 to 1382 of the family's 1533-position model. Lineage: Bacteria; Bacillati; Actinomycetota; Acidimicrobiia; Acidimicrobiales. The record is from RNAcentral.